This 459-nucleotide ribosomal RNA is filed under the name uncultured bacterium. RNAcentral's name for it is "partial 16S ribosomal RNA". It matches the Rfam family "Bacterial small subunit ribosomal RNA", at positions 338 to 795 of the family's 1533-position model. The record is from RNAcentral.
CCUACGGGUGACAGCAGUGAGGAAUAUUGGUCAAUGGCCGGAAGGCUGAACCAGCCAAGCCGCGUGAGGGAGGACGGCGCAGUGCGUCGUAGACCUCUUUUGUCGGAGGACAAAACGCGGGACUUGUCCGGUCCUGCGGGUAUCCGGAGAAAAAGCAUCGGCUAACUCCGUGCCAGCAGCCGCGGUAAUACGGAGGAUGCGAGCGUUAUCCGGAUUUAUUGGGUUUAAAGGGUGCGUAGGCGGGCCGUUAAGUCAGCGGUGAAAUUGCGGGGCUCAACCCCGUCGAGCCGUUGAAACUGGGAGACUUGAGUGCGCGAGAGGCAGGCGGAAUGUGCGGUGUAGCGGUGAAAUGCAUAGAUAUCGCGCAGAACCCCGAUUGCGAAGGCAGCGUACCGUGGCGCGACUGACGCUGAGGCACGAAAGCGCGGGGAUCGAACAGGAUUAGAUACCCCUGUAGUC